This 430-nucleotide ribosomal RNA is filed under the name uncultured bacterium. RNAcentral's name for it is "partial 16S ribosomal RNA". It matches the Rfam family "Bacterial small subunit ribosomal RNA", at positions 29 to 507 of the family's 1533-position model. The record is from RNAcentral.
ACGAACGCUGGCGGCAGGCUUUACCCAUGCAAGUCGAGCGCCCCGCAAGGGGAGCGGCAGACGGGUGAGUAACGCGUGGGAACGUACCUUUUGGUUCGGAACAACUCCGGGAAACUGGAGCUAAUACCGGAUAAGCCCUAACGGGGAAAGAUUUAUCGCCGAAAGAUCGGCCCGCGUCUGAUUAGCUAGUUGGUGAGGUAACGGCUCACCAAGGCGACGAUCAGUAGCUGGUCUGAGAGGAUGAUCAGCCACACUGGGACUGAGACACGGCCCAGACUCCUACGGGAGGCAGCAGUGGGGAAUAUUGGACAAUGGGCGCAAGCCUGAUCCAGCCAUGCCGCGUGAGUGAUGAAGGCCUUAGGGUUGUAAAGCUCUUUUGUCCGGGAAGAUAAUGACUGUACCGGAAGAAUAAGCCCCGGCUAACUUCGUG